AGAGUAGGCGCAGGUGGUUACAGACUAGUUUCGUUGAGACUGGUUUGAGGAAAGUCCGGGCUCCCGAAAGACCAGACUUGCUGGAUAACUCCCAGUGCGAGCGAUCGCGAGGAUAGUGCCACAGAAACAUACCGCCCUUUUUCAGUGAACAGUGAACAGUCAACAGUGAACAGUCAGUAACUGAUAACUGAUAGCUGAUAACUGGUAACUGAAGAGGGUAAGGGUGCAAAGGUGCGGUAAGAGCGCACCAGCAUGAUCGAGAGAUCAUGGCUCGGUAAACCCCGGUUGGGAGCAAGGCGAAGGAACUAUGGUUGGUCUUUUACCAGUUCCGCUCUCAUAAGAGCCGCUAGAGGCGUUUGGUAACAAACGUCCCAGAUAGAUAACCGCCCUCUUAAAUGUAGAAACGUAAUAUGUUACGUUUUUACAAAAGAGAACAGAACCCGGCUUACGUUCCGACUCUCUCC
This 464-nucleotide RNase P RNA is filed under the name Brasilonema bromeliae SPC951. RNAcentral describes it as "RNase P RNA component class A". It matches the Rfam family "Bacterial RNase P class A". Rfam says of the family: Ribonuclease P (RNase P) is a ubiquitous endoribonuclease, found in archaea, bacteria and eukarya as well as chloroplasts and mitochondria. Its best characterised activity is the generation of mature 5'-ends of tRNAs by cleaving the 5'-leader elements of precursor-tRNAs. Lineage: Bacteria; Bacillati; Cyanobacteriota; Cyanophyceae; Nostocales; Scytonemataceae. The record is from RNAcentral.